RNAcentral lists this ribosomal RNA (246 nucleotides) under unidentified alpha proteobacterium groupC. RNAcentral describes it as "partial 16S small subunit ribosomal RNA". It matches the Rfam family "Bacterial small subunit ribosomal RNA", at positions 1106 to 1373 of the family's 1533-position model. Lineage: Bacteria; Pseudomonadati; Pseudomonadota; Alphaproteobacteria. The record is from RNAcentral.
CAUCUUUAGUUGCCAGCAGGUUAAGCUGGGCACUCUAGAGAAACUGCCCGUGAUAAGCGGGAGGAAGGUGUGGAUGACGUCAAGUCCUCAUGGCCCUUACGGGUUGGGCUACACACGUGCUACAAUGGCAGUGACAAUGGGUUAAUCCCAAAAAGCUGUCUCAGUUCGGAUUGGGGUCUGCAACUCGACCCCAUGAAGUCGGAAUCGCUAGUAAUCGCGUAACAGCAUGACGCGGUGAAUACGUUC